AUACAGAGGGUGCGAGCGUUAAUCGGAAUUACUGGGCGUAAAGCGCGCGUAGGCGGCUUAUUAAGUCAGAUGUGAAAUCCCCGGGCUCAACCUGGGAACUGCAUCUGAUACUGGUAAGCUAGAGUUUGGGAGAGGGAAGUAGAAUUUCAGGUGAAGCGGUGAAAUGCAUAGAGAUCUGAAGGAAUACCAGUGGCGAAGGCGACUUCCUGGCCUAAAACUGACGCUGAGGUGCGAAAGCGUGGGUAGCAAACGGGAUUAGAAACCCUAGUAGUCC
This 274-nucleotide ribosomal RNA is filed under the name uncultured bacterium. RNAcentral describes it as "partial 16S ribosomal RNA". It matches the Rfam family "Bacterial small subunit ribosomal RNA", at positions 523 to 796 of the family's 1533-position model. The record is from RNAcentral.